UACGUAGGGGGCAAGCGUUAUCCGGAUUUACUGGGUGUAAAGGGAGCGUAGACGGCAUAGCAAGUCUGAAGUGAAAGCCCGUGGCUCAACCGCGGAACUGCUUUGGAAACUGUUAAGCUGGAGUACUGGAGAGGCAAGCGGAAUUCCUAGUGUAGCGGUGAAAUGCGUAGAUAUUAGGAGGAACACCAGCGGCGAAGGCGGCUUGCUGGACAGAGACUGACGUUGAGGCUCGAAAGCGUGGGGAGCAAACAGG
This 253-nucleotide ribosomal RNA is filed under the name uncultured bacterium. RNAcentral describes it as "partial 16S ribosomal RNA". It matches the Rfam family "Bacterial small subunit ribosomal RNA", at positions 524 to 776 of the family's 1533-position model. The record is from RNAcentral.